Molecule: ribosomal RNA, 447 nt
Filed under: uncultured Streptococcus sp.
Lineage: Bacteria; Bacillati; Bacillota; Bacilli; Lactobacillales; Streptococcaceae
Description: bacterial SSU rRNA
Rfam family: Bacterial small subunit ribosomal RNA
Source: RNAcentral
UGGAGCAUGUGGUUAAUUCGAAGCAACGCGAAGAACCUUACCAGGUCUUGACAUCCCGAUGCUAUUUCUAGAGAUAGAAAGUUACUUCGGUACAUCGGUGACAGGUGGUGCAUGGUUGUCGUCAGCUCGUGUCGUGAGAUGUUGGGUUAAGUCCCGCAACGAGCGCAACCCCUAUUGUUAGUUGCCAUCAUUCAGUUGGGCACUCUAGCGAGACUGCCGGUAAUAAACCGGAGGAAGUGGGGAUGACGUCAAAUCAUCAUGCCCCUUAUGACCUGGGCUACACACGUGCUACAAUGGUUGGUACAACGAGUUGCGAGUCGGUGACGACGAGCUAAUCUCUUAAAGCCAAUCUCAGUUCGGAUUGUAGGCUGCAACUCGCCUACAUGAAGUCGGAAUCGCUAGUAAUCGCGGAUCAGCACGCCCGCGGUCGAAUACGUUCCGGGCCUU